RNAcentral lists this ribosomal RNA (504 nucleotides) under Triticum aestivum (bread wheat). RNAcentral's name for it is "partial small subunit ribosomal RNA". Lineage: Eukaryota; Viridiplantae; Streptophyta; Magnoliopsida; Poales; Poaceae. The record is from RNAcentral.
AUGGCGAGGCUCCUCCUCUUCGCCGCCGACCACACCGCCGGAGCACCCGGGGCGGCGACUCUCGUCCUUGUCAUCCUCGUCGUCCUGGUGGUGGCGGCGGUCGUGGUGUCUCUGUGCACCAGCAGCACGCACGAGAAGCUGUGGGGGCAGCAGCGCGGGCCCUCCUCGUCGGCGCCGCUGGCCAAGGCGGACAGCAGCGUCGGCGCCAGCAACCGGAAGCACCUGCUGUCGGCCACGCUCAGCGGGAUCGGCGGCAAGGCGGCCAGGAUGGUGUCGUGGAACAGGCGCUCUCCGUCCGGCAGCAGCGACGACGACGAGGAGGCGGUGGCCGCUCUGGGGCCGGACGACGACGAGGCCGUGUGGAGGAAGGCCAUCAUCAUGGGGGACAAGUGCCGGCCGCUCCAGUUCUCGGGGCACAUCGCCUUCGACUCCGACGGCAACCAGCUGCCCCAGCCGCCGGCGGCAGUCAAGAAAGCCUCCCCCGACGUCCCCGCCGAGAAUUAA